UACGAAGGUCCCAAGCGUUGUUCGGAAUCACUGGGCGUAAAGGGAGCGUAGGCGGCGUGGUAAGUCAGAUGUGAAAUCCCGGGGCUCAACCCCGGAACUGCAUCCGAUACUGCCAUGCUUGAGGGUUGGAGAGGUAGCUGGAAUUCUCGGUGUAGCAGUGAAAUGCGUGGAUAUCGAGAGGAACACUCGUGGCGAAGGCGAGCUACUGGACAACAUCUGACGCUGAGGCUCGAAGGCUAGAGUAGCGAAAGGG
This 253-nucleotide ribosomal RNA is filed under the name uncultured bacterium. Its description in RNAcentral is "partial 16S ribosomal RNA". It matches the Rfam family "Bacterial small subunit ribosomal RNA", at positions 524 to 776 of the family's 1533-position model. The record is from RNAcentral.